AUGCCCAGGCUGCUGCUGAACCUCCUCUUCCUGCUCGGCCACCUACGUCGCCUCUCCUCCUGGCUGCUCCGCCUCGUCGGCGCCGGCGUCGACGACGACCUCUGCUUCGACUACUCCAAUGCCUCCGACUUCGCCUACUUCGCCGACCACCACCAGGAACAAUACCAACACGAACACCACGACCACGGCCUGGAGGAGCACUCUCUGGCCGUGCGCUUCGACGCACUCCCGUCCGACAGCGACGACGGCACGGCACCGCUGCUGCCGGAGUGCUGCGUGGUGUGCCUCGACGACUUCCACGGCGCCGCGCGGGUGCGCCGGCCGCGCGGAUGCCGGCACGUCUUCCACCACGGGUGCCUCGACCGCUGGCCCGCCCACGGCCACCGCACCUGCCCGCUCUAUCGGGCCUCGCUCCUCCCGCUGGCACCGACAUCUCUCAAUCCCAUCCUCCUACCCAUGCCGCUGCCG
RNAcentral lists this ribosomal RNA (468 nucleotides) under Triticum aestivum (bread wheat). Its description in RNAcentral is "partial small subunit ribosomal RNA". The record is from RNAcentral. Lineage: Eukaryota; Viridiplantae; Streptophyta; Magnoliopsida; Poales; Poaceae.